UAACUCUUGGGGAAAAUGAAAAAGAAAACUAUGUUGAUUCAAACUUUAAAUACACGUGUAUUUAUGUAUAUUUCUGUGUGGGCAUGUGUGUACCAAGCAAUACACACUUGCUAUCAUUGCAACACAGAUUUAUGCAGAAUUCUUUGAGAUUCAUAAGUAGGCUACCACUCAACCUGUGUUCAGAAACCUUCUGAGGCAGGAUGGAAAAGGGGACUUGUGGGCACAUUAUGUCUUCACCCAACUGAGCACUAGCGACAAUAAAUGAAGAAAUUACUGACAAUAUUUCAGGGGAGAAACAGAGAUCUAAGAAGCUAUGGCAUAAGUGCAAGUCCAAGGUGAGGCAUUGCAUGGUGGCUAGGGGCUCUGCAUAGUAAGCGACACAGCCUAAGGGAUGUGAGCUUGAAGUUCCCUGAUGAAGCCACAUCUGUCUUGAAGAGUCUAGACUGACUGGUUGACUAGAACUUCAUGUCUGUGAAGUGACAGCAUGCUGUAGAUUGAGAGACAGAAUUAUCUUGAGCUAUCUUUAAUCUAUCUUAAUAGCCAUUUAUUACUAACCCCUGUGUCUCAUUUGACACGCUUAUUAUUUGUAGGUGCAGUCUUUGAAAUAUAUUGCUGAACUUAGCCAACAUCUCGUUUCCCCAAACCCUAAAAGUAAAAAUUUUGUAAGCUAGCCCCUGAAACUCACAUAACAGACCUGUCAACUCUAGUGUGUCACCUGAUGUCCUCAUCAACUUGGUAAACUGUUUUGUUUUUAACUUCCUUCUGUUCUGUACCACCUAUCUUUCACUUGUCCUUGCCUUAGAGUAAAACCUGUCCAACAAGAGCUGUCUCUGGCAUCAACAGGUGGCUGUGGAGAAGGUGAAGUUGGAUGGAACAACUGGGAAGAGGAGAGUUAUUGGCAUAGGCAUGAGACCCACCCAGUACAUAGCAGAAGAGGCCGGAGGGAGGCACUAGCUCUACUGAGCUACAAGACAGACUGGUGAACUUCCUGCUUACAGGACAGGCUUCAGCUCUAGCCCUUAUCCUGUCUCUCAUGCUUUACUGGAGCACUUGGUACAUUACCAGGAAACUUCAAGAUAGCUCUAUAGAAACGCACAACAUUCAUACAUAUACUUUGCAAAACUUUGAUAUGUGCACACUGACACACUGUAUUAAGACUUGAUACAAUAUCAAGCCAACUUACCCAUUAAUAGAUCUGAAAAGUUCUGCAUAUUCUACAUGUGUAAGAUCAAGCCUGAAAAUAAUAAAAACAGUUUUACAAAUCAAA
Molecule: long non-coding RNA, 1267 nt
Organism: Mesocricetus auratus (golden hamster)
Lineage: Eukaryota; Metazoa; Chordata; Mammalia; Rodentia; Cricetidae
Exons: 2
Source: RefSeq, a predicted model, not a curated record